GGCUUCGUAGAUUAGCUGGUAGAGUGCUUGCCGCGUUGAGGCAUGAUGUUUCUGCCGUUGGCUCGAAUCCAGCCGAAGCCC
Non-coding RNA from Paragonimus heterotremus, 81 nucleotides. The record is from the annotation of a GenBank genome assembly. NCBI's taxonomy places the organism in Eukaryota, Metazoa, Platyhelminthes, Trematoda, Plagiorchiida, Troglotrematidae.